AGCGAACGCUGGCGGCAUGCUUAACACAUGCAAGUCACGCGGGUGGUUUCGGCCAUCCGCGGCGGACGGGUGAGUAUCGCGUAGGAAUGUAUCCCGAGGUGGGGGACAACCCUGGGAAACUGGGGCUAAUACCGCAUGGGGCCUGUGGGUCAAAGCCUUAGGGCGCCUUGGGAGCAGCCUGCGUCCGAUUAGGUAGUUGGUGGGGUAAAGGCCUACCAAGCCUGCGAUCGGUAGCUGGUCUGAGAGGACGAUCAGCCACACUGGGACUGAGACACGGCCCAGACUCCUACGGGAGGCAGCAGUGGGGAAUAUUGGACAAUGGGCGCAAGCCUGAUCCAGCAAUGCCGCGUGGGUGAAGAAGGUCUUCGGAUUGUAAAGCCCUUUCGGCGGGGACGAUGAUGACGGUACCCGCAGAAGAAGCCCCGGCUAACUUCGUG
RNAcentral lists this ribosomal RNA (437 nucleotides) under uncultured bacterium. RNAcentral's name for it is "partial 16S ribosomal RNA". It matches the Rfam family "Bacterial small subunit ribosomal RNA", at positions 28 to 507 of the family's 1533-position model. The record is from RNAcentral.